CGGCGUACACCUGCUGCGGGGUGACCAGGUGGACGUGCGCGUCGAUGCCGCCGGCGGUCAGGAUCAGGUGCUCACCGGAGAUCGCGUCGGUGCCCGGACCGGUCACCAGGCCCGGGGUCACCCGUCCAUGAUGUUGGGGUUGCCGGCCUUGCCGAUCCCGGCGAUCCUGCCGUCCUUGAUCCCCACGUCCGCCUUGACCACGCCGAGCAGCGCGUCCACGACUGUCACGUUGGUGAUCACCAGGUCCACCACGCCCUCGGCGCUCGUGGCCUGGCUGGCACUGCCCAUGCCGUCG
Molecule: small RNA, 295 nt
Filed under: Micromonospora aurantiaca ATCC 27029
Lineage: Bacteria; Bacillati; Actinomycetota; Actinomycetes; Micromonosporales; Micromonosporaceae
Description: 5' ureB small RNA
Rfam family: 5' ureB small RNA
Source: Rfam by way of RNAcentral